RNAcentral lists this ribosomal RNA (231 nucleotides) under Francisella tularensis subsp. holarctica. Its description in RNAcentral is "partial 23S ribosomal RNA". It matches the Rfam family "Bacterial large subunit ribosomal RNA", at positions 1949 to 2179 of the family's 2925-position model. The record is from RNAcentral. Lineage: Bacteria; Pseudomonadati; Pseudomonadota; Gammaproteobacteria; Thiotrichales; Francisellaceae.
GCCUACGGUAGCGAAAUUCCUUGUCGGGUAAGUUCCGACCUGCACGAAUGGCGUAACGAUGGCCACACUGUCUCCCCCAGAGACUCAGUGAAAUUGAAAUCGCUGUGAAGAUGCAGUGUACCCGCGGUUAGACGGUAAGACCCCGUGAACCUUUACUAUAGCUUUGCACUGGACUUUGAAUAGUUAUGGGUAGGAUCGGUGGGAGACCAUGUAGCAGCUACGCCAGUCGUU